GGGAGCACUUUGCUGUAAUGCAACUGAUGUGUUUUGUGAAUGUUAACUUGUUGAGUGAUAUCCCAACACAAUACAAAUGCAGAAAAUUUGGGACCAGGAAAAAGCUCACCUCAAGGUAUUUAAUGAGCUCAUGGCUGACAAUAGAAUCUGACCAACCAUCUUAUUACCAUUGUGGAGUCUUGCAAGGUUUGCUUUAGUUGAUCAAGAAGUUCCGGGAUGAAGAAAUGGAACAUCAGGAUACAGGAUUAGAACACGAUGCUGAACUGGUAAAUACAGGGAUUAACAGAAAUAAGAUCAAUAGAAGAAGAAACCACAAUGAAGGGAAAGAAAAAAACUUUUCUUAAAAUCCUGAAUACUCCUUUUCUCAUUAUUUCCAGGCUCCUGCUUACUCGCUGAUGAAUAACCUUAUCCAAGUUGGCUGCAAGGGUGCAAUAUAUAUGUCUGAACGCAUCUAGAAUAACUAUUUAUAGUUCAGAAUUACACGCAUAGAAGUUUGAAUUGAAUGUACAGUAUGAUUAUUUUGUAAAUUACAGUGCUUCCCCUUAUAACGCUGUAGUCGGGAGUCAUAGUUAAAAGACCAUGCUAUUUGUGUUCCACCUUCUAACGAGAAUACUAGUGUUAGUUUAAUGGCAUUAUGGGUCAAAUGGGAGCCAUGACCAGUUCCACAGUAUAAAGGUCCGCCUUAUAAAC
Acipenser ruthenus (sterlet) is the source of this 690-nucleotide long non-coding RNA. RefSeq lists it as uncharacterized. The transcript has 3 exons. The record is from RefSeq and is a predicted model, not a curated record. Lineage: Eukaryota; Metazoa; Chordata; Actinopteri; Acipenseriformes; Acipenseridae.